GGGCAUGUGGCUCAGUGGUAGAGCGUCGUCCUGAUAAGACGAAGGUCAAUAGUUCGAUUCUAUUCAUGCCCA
RNAcentral lists this transfer RNA (72 nucleotides) under Candidatus Woesebacteria bacterium. RNAcentral describes it as "tRNA-Ile". It matches the Rfam family "tRNA". Rfam says of the family: Transfer RNA (tRNA) molecules are approximately 80 nucleotides in length. Their secondary structure includes four short double-helical elements and three loops (D, anti-codon, and T loops). The record is from RNAcentral. RNAcentral also lists the same sequence under 2 other names. Lineage: Bacteria; Candidatus Woeseibacteriota.